RNAcentral lists this ribosomal RNA (554 nucleotides) under uncultured bacterium. RNAcentral describes it as "partial 16S ribosomal RNA". It matches the Rfam family "Bacterial small subunit ribosomal RNA", at positions 355 to 902 of the family's 1533-position model. The record is from RNAcentral.
UGGGGAAUUUUGGACAAUGGGCGAAAGCCUGAUCCAGCAAUGCCGCGUGUGUGAAGAAGGCCUUCGGGUUGUAAAGCACUUUUGUCCGGAAAGAAAUCCUCUGGGUUAAUACCUCGGGGGGAUGACGGUACCGGAAGAAUAAGCACCGGCUAACUACGUGCCAGCAGCCGCGGUAAUACGUAGGGUGCAAGCGUUAAUCGGAAUUACUGGGCGUAAAGCGUGCGCAGGCGGUUUUGUAAGACGGAUGUGAAAUCCCCGGGCUUAACCUGGGAACUGCAUUCGUGACUGCAAGGCUAGAGUAUGGCAGAGGGGGGUAGAAUUCCACGUGUAGCAGUGAAAUGCGUAGAGAUGUGGAGGAAUACCGAUGGCGAAGGCAGCCCCCUGGGCCAAAUACUGACGCUCAUGCACGAAAGCGUGGGGAGCAAACAGGAUUAGAUACCCUGGUAGUCCACGCCCUAAACGAUGUCAACUAGUUGUUGGGGAUUCAUUCCUUAGUAACGUAGCUAACGCGUGAAGUUGACCGCCUGGGGAGUACGGUCGCAAGAUUAAAACUC